AGGUAAGCUACUAAGAGCGAAUGGUGGAUGCCUUGACUGGUAGAGGCGAUGAAGGACGUACUAGACUGCGAUAAGCUACGGGGAGCUGUCAAGAAGCUUUGAUCCGUAGAUUUCCGAAUGGGGCAACCCAAUGUAUAGAGAUAUACAUUACCUAUAUAGGAGCGAACGAGGGGAAUUGAAACAUCUUAGUACCCUCAGGAAAAGAAAUCAAUAGAGAUUGCGUCAGUAGCGGCGAGCGAAAGCGCAAGAGGGCAAACCCAGUGCUUGCACUGGGGGUUGUAGGACUGCAAUGUGCAAGAGGUAAGUUUAGCAGAACAUUCUGGAAAGUAUAACCAUAGAGGGUGAUAGUCCCGUAUGCGAAAAACAAACCUUAGCUAGCAGUAUCCUGAGUAGGGCGGGACACGAGGAAUCCUGUCUGAAUCCGGGUCGACCACGAUCCAACCCUAAAUACUAAUACCAGAUCGAUAGUGCACAAGUACCGUGAGGGAAAGGUGAAAAGAACUGAGGUGAUCAGAGUGAAAUAGAACCUGAAACCAUUUGCUUACAAUCAUUCAGAGCACUAUGUAGCAAUACAGUGUGAUGGACUGCCUUUUGCAUAAUGAGCCUGCGAGUUGUGGUGUCUGGCAAGGUUAAGCAAACGCGAAGCCGUAGCGAAAGCGAGUCUGAAUAGGGCGCUUAGUCAGAUGCUGCAGACCCGAAACGAAGUGAUCUAUCCAUGAGCAAGUUGAAGCUAGUGUAAGAACUAGUGGAGGACUGAACCCAUAGGCGUUGAAAAGCCCCGGGAUGACUUGUGGAUAGGGGUGAAAGGCCAAUCAAACUUCGUGAUAGCUGGUUCUCUCCGAAAUAUAUUUAGGUAUAGCGUUGUGUCGUAAUAUAAGGGGGUAGAGCACUGAAUGGGCUAGGGCAUACACCAAUGUACCAAACCCUAUCAAACUCCGAAUACCUUAUAUGUAAUCACAGCAGUCAGGCGGCGAGUGAUAAAAUCCGUCGUCAAGAGGGAAACAACCCAGACUACCAGCUAAGGUCCCUAAAUCUUACUUAAGUGGAAAACGAUGUGAAGUUACUUAAACAACCAGGAGGUUGGCUUAGAAGCAGCCAUCCUUUAAAGAAAGCGUAAUAGCUCACUGGUCUAGUGAUUUUGCGCGGAAAAUAUAACGGGGCUAAAGUAAGUACCGAAGCUGUAGACUUGCACACAACUUAGAUUAUUUAAGUUUAGAAUAUGAGAAACUAAGUUAUAUGUUUAGUUAUAUUUUUACUGAUUUUUAUAGAGUAAAGAUAGAAAUAAAACUUAGUAAAAUCAGUAAAAAUAUUCUUAGACUAAAGUUAAGUAGUUUAAGUUGUGUGCAAGUGGUAGGAGAGCGUUCUAUUUGCGUCGAAGGUAUACCGGUAAGGAGUGCUGGAGCGAAUAGAAGUGAGCAUGCAGGCAUGAGUAGCGAUAAUUAAUGUGAGAAUCAUUAACGCCGUAAACCCAAGGUUUCCUACGCGAUGCUCGUCAUCGUAGGGUUAGUCGGGUCCUAAGUCGAGUCCGAAAGGGGUAGACGAUGGCAAAUUGGUUAAUAUUCCAAUACCAACAUUAGUGUGCGAUGGAAGGACGCUUAGGGCUAAGGGGGCUAGCGGAUGGAAGUGCUAGUCUAAGGUCGUAGGAGGUUGUACAGGCAAAUCCGUAUAACAAUACUCCGAGAACUGAAAGGCUUUUUGAAGUCUUCGGAUGGAUAGAAGAACCCCUGAUGCCGUCGAGCCAAGAAAAGUUUCUAAGUUUAGCUAAUGUUGCCCGUACCGUAAACCGACACAGGUGGGUGGGAUGAGUAUUCUAAGGCGCGUGGAAGAACUCUCUUUAAGGAACUCUGCAAAAUAGCACCGUAUCUUCGGUAUAAGGUGUGGUUAGCUUUGUAUUAGGAUUUACUCCGAAAGCAAGGAAACUUACAACAAAGAGUCCCUCCCGACUGUUUACCAAAAACACAGCACUCUGCUAACUCGUAAGAGGAUGUAUAGGGUGUGACGCCUGCCCGGUGCUCGAAGGUUAAUUGAUGGGGUUAGCAUUAGCGAAGCUCUUGAUCGAAGCCCGAGUAAACGGCGGCCGUAACUAUAACGGUCCUAAGGUAGCGAAAUUCCUUGUCGGUUAAAUACCGACCUGCAUGAAUGGCGUAACGAGAUGGGAGCUGUCUCAAAGAGGGAUCCAGUGAAAUUGUAGUGGAGGUGAAAAUUCCUCCUACCCGCGGCAAGACGGAAAGACCCCGUGGACCUUUACUACAGCUUGACACUGCUACUUGGAUAAGAAUGUGCAGGAUAGGUGGGAGGCUUUGAGUAUAUGACGCCAGUUGUAUAUGAGCCAUUGUUGAGAUACCACUCUUUCUUAUUUGGGUAGCUAACCAGCUUGAGUUAUCCUCAAGUGGGACAAUGUCUGGUGGGUAGUUUGACUGGGGCGGUCGCCUCCCAAAUAAUAACGGAGGCUUACAAAGGUUGGCUCAGAACGGUUGGAAAUCGUUCGUAGAGUAUAAAGGUAUAAGCCAGCUUAACUGCAAGACAUACAAGUCAAGCAGAGACGAAAGUCGGUCUUAGUGAUCCGGUGGUUCUGUGUGGAAGGGCCAUCGCUCAAAGGAUAAAAGGUACCCCGGGGAUAACAGGCUGAUCUCCCCCAAGAGCUCACAUCGACGGGGAGGUUUGGCACCUCGAUGUCGGCUCAUCGCAUCCUGGGGCUGGAGCAGGUCCCAAGGGUAUGGCUGUUCGCCAUUUAAAGCGGUACGCGAGCUGGGUUCAGAACGUCGUGAGACAGUUCGGUCCCUAUCUGCCGUGGGCGUAAGAAGAUUGAAGAGAUUUGACCCUAGUACGAGAGGACCGGGUUGAACAAACCACUGGUGUAGCUGUUGUUCUGCCAAGAGCAUCGCAGCGUAGCUAAGUUUGGAAAGGAUAAACGCUGAAAGCAUCUAAGCGUGAAGCCAACUCUAAGAUGAAUCUUCUCUAAGCUCUCUAGAAGACUACUAGUUUGAUAGGCUGGGUGUGUAAUGGAUGAAAGUCCUUUAGCUGACCAGUACUAAUAGAGCGUUUGGCUUAUCUUA
Molecule: ribosomal RNA, 3056 nt
Filed under: Campylobacter jejuni
Lineage: Bacteria; Pseudomonadati; Campylobacterota; Epsilonproteobacteria; Campylobacterales; Campylobacteraceae
Description: 23S ribosomal RNA
Rfam family: Bacterial large subunit ribosomal RNA
Source: RNAcentral